UCAGGAAAGCAGGUGGUUGUCUGUUAGACUGCCACCGGCCUCGGCCUCGAGGGGAUGGUUACCAGUACGAGUGGCACCGGGGGGGACAGAGGCACCGCGAAUCAUCCGCAGGACGCGGCCGCUGCCAGUGUCCAAGAAGCCACCCGGCUCUGGGGCAGACGCGACCCCGAUCUCUCAGGCCUGCUCCCGGGACCCAGGACUCCCUCCCGGCCUCGCCCGGCGUCGGGAUCGGUUACCUGCACCGCUGCGGGCGCCGAGCGGUGAAAACGCCUCUUCAGCAGCCCAGAAGCCUGGCAGGGAGAGAGAAAAGGUUUCAGAAAGGGCACAGGGCCUACGGCGGGCGCUCCAGGGGCCGCUACCUACCUGCCGCAAGGGUCCCCGCACCAGACCAGCCACCGCCGCCAUCUUGCCCGUGUCCUCUACUCGCCGCCGAAUGACAACACAGAAGCGCCGCAGACCCCGUCUGGCGCAGCCAAUGGUAGGGCGUGACACCUUUAGGACCCACCUCCGUUCAGCAAAGCCAAUAGAGAGUGGUAACUGAGGAAGCCAAUAGCAAGGGGCUAUUUCAGAGGUUCCGCCCCCAGGUAGAGCUCCGCCUCUGCUUGCUUAGCCAACGGCCGGUUUCGACGCCUGCGCGCCCCGCCCACCUAGCGAGUCGCUGUCCUGAAGAGGUGAUGUGAGGCUGCUGCUGUUCCUCUCUGACCUGGUGCACUGGAGAUAACUUUGCAGACCGCCUGUGGCGGCUGUCAUGCACCUAGCACGCCCUGCACUCAGCCUUGACUGCUAGCUGCUCACGUGCUAGGACUGAGUCAGUGCGGCCUGAUCCGACCGAGGCUGCGAGGACCUUGCGGCCACCCCUUUGCGGGUACUGAGGGCUUUGAGCAACACAUGAAUCUUGCACGCACAACAGUGGGGGGUGAACCUACCUUUAUAUGAAUGGGCGCUGUCAAUUGAAUGUAAACAAUAGCUUUCAUAUAUGUCCUAAGCGUCCACUGUGUGCUAAGUAUUAUGAUGUGUGCUUGAUAAGUGCUUGUAGGUGGUUUCUGCUAGAAUCUCCAUCCAGGCGCGAAGACGCGAGGAGGUUGUUCUGAUGAUGCUGAAUUAAGAUGGCAUACCCGAACUGGAGAAGAAGCCGGAAGCCUAGUUUUAGCAGAGCUAGAGACAUCUGAGAAUAGACUGUUCAGAGUUGCCUAUAGAGGGCGCUCUCUUCUCUUGACUGGCGAAUGCCACUGAAAUCCUGAAGACCUGCUAAGAGCCACUGCCGUGCAACCAACUACCACCAUGUGUGGCCUUCCUAAAAUAUUAACACUUAUGUUCUCUGGCCUCAACCACAUUUUUUGUGGGUUGGAGAGCUCAGAUGCAGAGCCCACAUUUGGACUUCGUAGCAGCAAGCUGAAAGAGGGAAGAGUCCAGAAAGCUUCACCCACAUACUGCACAAAGACCUUUGAGAAGAUGACAAAAUGACUCAUUUCCAGGCACAAAGGGGACAUUUCCUAGCAUCCCAAUCAUUUUAAUACUAAU
Molecule: long non-coding RNA, 1521 nt
Organism: Mastomys coucha (southern multimammate mouse)
Lineage: Eukaryota; Metazoa; Chordata; Mammalia; Rodentia; Muridae
Exons: 2
Source: RefSeq, a predicted model, not a curated record